Molecule: ribosomal RNA, 429 nt
Filed under: Bacteroidota bacterium
Lineage: Bacteria; Pseudomonadati; Bacteroidota
Description: Bacteroidetes bacterium partial 16S ribosomal RNA
Rfam family: Bacterial small subunit ribosomal RNA
Source: RNAcentral
UAGGGAAUCUUCGGCAAUGGGGGGAACCCUGACCGAGCAACGCCGCGUGAGUGAAGAAGGUUUUCGGAUCGUAAAGCUCUGUUGUUAAGGAAGAACGAGUGUGAGAAUGGAAAGUUCAUACUGUGACGGUACUUAACCAGAAAGGGACGGCUAACUACGUGCCAGCAGCCGCGGUAAUACGUAGGUCCCGAGCGUUGUCCGGAUUUAUUGGGCGUAAAGCGAGCGCAGGCGGUUAGAUAAGUCUGAAGUUAAAGGCAGUGGCUCAACCAUUGUAGGCUUUGGAAACUGUUUAACUUGAGUGCAGAAGGGGAGAGUGGAAUUCCAUGUGUAGCGGUGAAAUGCGUAGAUAUAUGGAGGAACACCGGUGGCGAAAGCGGCUCUCGGGUCUGUAACUGACGCUGAGGCUCGAAAGCGUGGGGAGCGAACAGG